RNAcentral lists this ribosomal RNA (262 nucleotides) under uncultured bacterium. RNAcentral describes it as "partial 16S ribosomal RNA". It matches the Rfam family "Bacterial small subunit ribosomal RNA", at positions 524 to 784 of the family's 1533-position model. The record is from RNAcentral.
UACAGAGGUCCCCAAGCGUUGUUCGGAUUCACUGGGCGUAAAGGGUGCGUAGGUGGUCGGGUAAGUCUGAUGUGAAAUCUCCGAGCUUAACUCGGAAACUGCAUCGGAUACUAUUUGGCUUGAGGGUUGGAGGGGGGACUGGAAUACUUGGUGUAGCAGUGAAAUGCGUAGAUAUCAAGUGGAACACCAGUGGCGAAGGCGAGUCCCUGGACAACUCCUGACACUGAGGUGCGAAAGCGUGGGGAGCAAACAGGAUUAGAAA